RNAcentral lists this ribosomal RNA (253 nucleotides) under uncultured bacterium. RNAcentral's name for it is "partial 16S ribosomal RNA". It matches the Rfam family "Bacterial small subunit ribosomal RNA", at positions 524 to 776 of the family's 1533-position model. The record is from RNAcentral.
GACAGAGGUCCCGAGCGUUAGGCGGAAUCACUGGGCUUAAAGCGUGUGUAGGCGGAUCGUUAAGUACCUUGUGAAAUCCCACGGCUUAACCGUGGAACUGCUUGGUAUACUGGCGAUCUUGAGCCACUUAGGGGCUACCGGAACAAAUGGUGGAGCGGUGAAAUGCGUAGAUAUCAUUUGGAACGCCAAUGGUGAAAACAGGUAGCUGGGAGUGUGCUGACGCUGAUGCGCGAAAGCCAGGGGAGCGAACGGG